RNAcentral lists this ribosomal RNA (460 nucleotides) under Funneliformis mosseae. RNAcentral's name for it is "LSU rRNA". It matches the Rfam family "Eukaryotic large subunit ribosomal RNA", at positions 358 to 668 of the family's 3401-position model. The record is from RNAcentral. Lineage: Eukaryota; Fungi; Glomeromycota; Glomeromycetes; Glomerales; Glomeraceae.
GGAAAGAUGAAAAGAACUUUGAAAAGAGAGUUAAACAGUACGUGAAAUUGUUGAAAGGGAAACGAUUGAAGUCAGUCAUACCAACGGGAAAUCAACCUUUUGAGCUUGGUCUCGUGGGUUUUGAAGAGUUUCAAAGCCUUCGGAUUCGCGAGAUUGAGAUCUCUCGGUGUACUUUCUCGUACGGUUAGUCAACAUCGGUUUUGAAUGUCAUAAAAUGACUGGAGGAAUGUAGCUUCGAUCUCGUAUUGAAGUGUUAUAGCCUUUGGUAGAUGUGAUGUUUGAGACCGAGGAUUGCAACGGAUACCCUUCAGGGCUAUUCGUCUGAUCUCUGAUACGUUGCCUUGAUGUUGAAAGCUUGCUUAUGAUGUUAGGGUAUUACGGUCAAAAGGUUAGAACGAAUUACAUUCGUUAUGGAUGUUGACGUAAUGACUUUAAACGACCCGUCUUGAAACACGGACCA